This 1985-nucleotide ribosomal RNA is filed under the name Laupala kohalensis. RNAcentral describes it as "SSU rRNA". It matches the Rfam family "Eukaryotic small subunit ribosomal RNA". Lineage: Eukaryota; Metazoa; Arthropoda; Insecta; Orthoptera; Trigonidiidae. The record is from RNAcentral.
CCUGGUUGAUCCUGCCAGUAGUGAUAUGCUUGUCUCAAAGAUUAAGCCAUGCAUGUCUCAGUGCAAGCCAAUCUAAGGUGAAACCGCGAAUGGCUCAUUAAAUCAGUUAUGGUUCAUUGGACAUUACUACUUUACUUGGAUAACUGUGGUAAUUCUAGAGCUAAUACAUGCUACACGAGUUCCGACCAGUAAUGGAAGGAACGCUUUUAUUAGAUCAAAACCAAUCGGUCGGGUUCGACCCGGCCGUUGAAUUUUGGUGACUCUGGAUAACUUUGGGCUGAUCGCACGGUCUCCGCACCGGCGACGGACCUUUCAAAUGUCUGCCUUAUCAACUGACGAUGGUAGGCUCUGUGCCUACCAUGGUUGUAACGGGUGACGGGGAAUCAGGGUUCGAUUCCGGAGAGGGAGCCUGAGAAACGGCUACCACAUCCAAGGAAGGCAGCAGGCGCGCAAAUUACCCACUCCCGGCACGGGGAGGUAGUGACGAAAAAUAACGAUACGGGACUCAUCCGAGGCCCCGUAAUCGGAAUGAGAACACUUUAAAUCCUUUAACAAACACUAUCAGAGGGCCAGUCUGGUGCCAGCAGCCGCGGUAAUUCCAGCUCUGAUAGCGUAUAUUAAAGUUGCUGCGGUUAAAAAGCUCGUAGUUGGACAUGUGUCCCGCGCUGCCGGUUCACCGCUCGUCGGUGUCUAACUGGCACGCAUGCGGGACGUCCUGCUGGUGGAGGCGAGCCGACGUCGGGCGCGCGCUUCUAUGCGCCGAGCGGUAAGCGGAGUUUUCGUCGUAUCGAGCAAUCGUGCGACGGACCCCCCCGCCCCGUUCGGAUUGCGGUCGCGCGUUAGCUCUUCGAAGGCGGACCCCGUUGUCACCCGCCGCGGUGCUCUUGACUGAGUGUCGCGCGGGCCGGCACGUUUACUUUGAACAAAUUAGAGUGCUCAAAGCAGGCCCUUGACUGCCUGAAUACUGUGUGCAUGGAAUAAUGAAAUAGGACCUCGGUUCUAUUUUGUUGGUUUUCGGAGCUCGAGGUAAUGAUUAAUGGGGAUUGCCGGGGGCAUCCGUAUUGCGACGUUAGAGGUGAAAUUCUUGGAUCGUCGCAAGACGAACUGCAGCGAAAGCGUUUGCCAAGUAUGUUUUCUUUAAUCAAGAACGAAAGUUAGAGGUUCGAAGGCGAUCAGAUACCGCCCUAGUUCUAACCAUAAACUAUGCCAUCUAGCGAUCCGCUGUGUGUCUUAGAUGUCACGGCGGGCAGCCCCCGGGAAACCAAAGAUUUUGGGUUCCGGGGGAAGUAUGGUUGCAAAGCUGAAACUUAAAGGAAUUGACGGAAGGGCACCACCAGCAGUGGGGCCUGCGGCUUAAUUUGACUCAACGCGGGGUAUCCUACUAGGCCCGGACACUCGAAGGAUUGACAGAUUGAGAGCUCUUUCUUGAUUGGGUGCGUGGUGGUGCAUGGCCGUUCUUCGUUGGUGGGGCGACUUGUCUGCUUAAUUGCGAUAACGAACGAGACUCUAGCCUGCUAACUAGUCGAUACCGGCAUCCUAUGUGCAGCCGGCGACAAUACAUCUUCUUAGAGGGACAGGUGGUGUAUAGCCACACGAGAAUGAGCAAUAACAGGUCUGUGAUGCCCUUAGAUGUUCUGGGCCGCACGCGCGCCACACUGAAGGGAUCAGCGUGUGUUUUCCUAGUCCGAGAGGACCGGGUAACCCGUUGAACCUCCUUCGUGCUAGGGAUUGGGGCUUGCAAUUAUUCCCCACGAACGAGGAAUUCCUAGUAAGCGCGAGUCAUAACCUCGCGUUGAUUAUGUCCCUGCCCUUUGUCCACACCGCCCGUCGCUACUACCGAUUGAAUGAUUUAGUGAGGUCUUCGGACCAGUGCGCGGCUUUCGGAAUUUUUUUCGAAAACCGAUGCUACCGGAAAGAUGACCGAACUUGAUUAUUUAGAGGAAGUAAAAGUCGUAACAAGGUUCCCGUAGGUGAACCUGCGGGAG